RNAcentral lists this ribosomal RNA (441 nucleotides) under uncultured bacterium. RNAcentral's name for it is "bacterial SSU rRNA". It matches the Rfam family "Bacterial small subunit ribosomal RNA", at positions 30 to 504 of the family's 1533-position model. The record is from RNAcentral.
UGAACGCUGGCGGUAUGCCUAACACAUGCAAGUCGUACGAGAGUUUUUAACUCUAGUGGCGGACGGGUGAGUAACACGUGAGAAUUUGCCUUUAGGAGGGGGAUAACAAUUGGAAACGAAUGCUAAUACCCCAUAUGCUUUUGAGUGAAAUGGAUUUAUAUUUAUCCGCCUAGAGAGAAGCUCGCGGCUGAUUAGCUUGUUGGUAAGGUAAGAGCUUACCAAGGCGACGAUCAGUAUCUGGUUUGAGAGGACGAUCAGACACACUGGAACUGAGACACGGUCCAGACUCCUACGGGAGGCAGCAGUGGGGAAUUUUCCGCAAUGGGCGAAAGCCUGACGGAGCAAUACCGCGUGAGGGAAGACGGCCUAUGGGUUGUAAACCUCUUUUUUCAGGGAGGAAUAAAAUGACGUGUACCUGAAGAAUAAGCAUCGGCUAACUCC